RNAcentral lists this ribosomal RNA (483 nucleotides) under uncultured bacterium. RNAcentral's name for it is "partial 16S ribosomal RNA". It matches the Rfam family "Bacterial small subunit ribosomal RNA", at positions 30 to 506 of the family's 1533-position model. The record is from RNAcentral.
AUUGAACGCUGGCGGCAGGCCUAACACAUGCAAGUCGAGCGGAUGAAGGGAGCUUGCUCCUGGAUUCAGCGGCGGACGGGUGAGUAAUGCCUAGGAAUCUGCCUGGUAGUGGGGGAUAACGUCCGGAAACGGGCGCUAAUACCGCAUACGUCCUGAGGGAGAAAGUGGGGGAUCUUCGGACCUCACGCUAUCAGAUGAGCCUAGGUCGGAUUAGCUAGUUGGUGGGGUAAAGGCCUACCAAGGCGACGAUCCGUAACUGGUCUGAGAGGAUGAUCAGUCACACUGGAACUGAGACACGGUCCAGACUCCUACGGGAGGCAGCAGUGGGGAAUAUUGGACAAUGGGCGAAAGCCUGAUCCAGCCAUGCCGCGUGUGUGAAGAAGGUCUUCGGAUUGUAAAGCACUUUAAGUUGGGAGGAAGGGCAGUAAGUUAAUACCUUGCUGUUUUGACGUUACCAACAGAAUAAGCACCGGCUAACAUCGU